CAGCACCUCAAGUGGUCAGGAUGAUUAUUGGUCCUAAAGCAUCCGUAGCCGGCGCUGUAAGUUUUCGGUUAAAUCUGUACGCUCAACGUACAGGCUGCCGGGAAUACUGCAGCGCUAGGGAGUGGGAGAGGUAGACGGUACUCGGUAGGAAGGGGUAAAAUCCUUUGAUCUAUUGAUGACCACCUGUGGCGAAGGCGGUCUACCAGAACACGUCCGACGGUGAGGGAUGAAAGCUGGGGGAGCAAACCGGAUUAGAUACCCGAGUAGUCC
Molecule: ribosomal RNA, 270 nt
Filed under: uncultured archaeon
Lineage: Archaea
Description: partial 16S ribosomal RNA
Rfam family: Archaeal small subunit ribosomal RNA
Source: RNAcentral